Zingiber officinale is the source of this 607-nucleotide long non-coding RNA. RefSeq lists it as uncharacterized. The record is from RefSeq and is a predicted model, not a curated record. The transcript has 3 exons. Lineage: Eukaryota; Viridiplantae; Streptophyta; Magnoliopsida; Zingiberales; Zingiberaceae.
UCCGUUGCAAACAUAAGACACCUUUUCAGCUGAUCAGCCCGUGGGGAGUGAGUGAGUGAGUGAGUGAGAGAGAGAGAGAGAGAAAGGGAGGAGGAGGGAAGGAAGGGGAAAGCGGAAGCGGAUGAGGAGAUGGCGACGCUGCAGAGUUGGCGAAAGGCGGUGUGCACGCUCAGAGACACCACCACCGUCAGCCUCGCAAACCUCAACAGCAAUUUCAAGAUUUGGAUGUGUCCAUCGUUAAAGCCACCAAUCACGUCGAGUGCCCGCCCAAGGAGCGACAGAUCAGGAAGAUCUUUGUGGCCACUUCGAUCACUCGCCCUCAUGCGGAUGUAGCGUAUUGUAUCCACGCCCUUGUACGUACGGCGCCUCGCCAAGACCCAUAAUUGGGCGGCACUUCGCUCUCCUCUGCUGUUAUUAUUCUAGUAACUUGUUUUUAGAGUCUCAGUACUGUAGUUACUGGUCCAACUGAAGACUGCUGAUCGGAUCAGUUGCAUUGUUGAUAGAUUUUCUGCAGUACCAAUAGUUAGAGAGUAAUUUGUGCUACAGUGAAAAAUGAAACCUUAUUAAUCUGUGCCAGACAUAAUUAAGGACCCCAUCACUUUAUUAA